This 886-nucleotide ribosomal RNA is filed under the name marine sediment metagenome. RNAcentral describes it as "bacterial SSU rRNA". It matches the Rfam family "Bacterial small subunit ribosomal RNA", at positions 22 to 874 of the family's 1533-position model. The record is from RNAcentral.
GCUCAGGACGAACGCUGGCGGCGUGGAUAAGGCAUGGAAGUCGAACGCGAACAGAACAACUAAUUCGUUAGGCGUUCUUAGUAGAGUGGCGAACGGGUGAGUAACGCGUGAACAACAUACCUCUCAGAGGGGAAUAACACAGGGAAACCUGUGCUAAUACCGCAUACAUCAACUUAUUGAUUUUAUAUUGAUAAAAGGUGGGGACCUUCGGGCCUGCCACUGAGAGAUUGGUUCGCGUCCCAUUAGCUUGUUGGUGAGGUAACGGCUCACCAAGGCGACGAUGGGUAGCCGGCCUGAGAGGGCGACCGGCCACACUGGGAUUGAGAUACGGCCCAGACUCCUUCGGGAGGCAGCAGUCGAGAAUCUUCCACAAUGGACGAAAGUCUGAUGGAGCGACGCCGCGUGAGGGAUUAAGGCUUUCUGAGUCGUAAACCUCUGUCAGAAGGGAAGAAUAGUUAGAGUAUUAAUAGUGCUUUAAUAUGACGUUACCUUCAGAGGAAGCUCCGGCUAACUCCGUGCCAGCAGCCGCGGUAAUACGGGGGGAGCAAGCGUUGUCCGGAAUCAUUGGGCGUAAAGGGCACGUAGGUGGUUUUGUAAGUCGAAUGUGAAAUCUCACGGCUCAACCGUGAAACUGCGUUCGAAACUACAUAACUUGAGUUUGGGAGAGGUGUACGGAAUUCCUGGUGUAGCGGUGGAAUGCGUAGAUAUCAGGAAGAACACCAAUGGCGAAGGCAGUACACUGGCCUAUAACUGACACUGAGGUGCGAAAGCGUGGGGAGCAAACAGGAUUAGAUACCCUGGUAGUCCACGCUGUAAACGAUGGAUACUAGGUUUUGGGGGUCUCAACCCCUUCAGAGCCGUAGCUAACGCGUUAAGUAUCCCGCCU